Molecule: non-coding RNA, 267 nt
Filed under: Cricetulus griseus (Chinese hamster)
Lineage: Eukaryota; Metazoa; Chordata; Mammalia; Rodentia; Cricetidae
Description: bip internal ribosome entry site (IRES)
Rfam family: bip internal ribosome entry site (IRES)
About the family: This family represents the bip internal ribosome entry site (IRES). BiP protein expression has been found to be significantly enhanced by the heat shock response due to IRES-dependent translation.
Source: Rfam by way of RNAcentral
CACUGGCCAAGACAACAGUGACCGGAGGACCUGCCUUUGCGGCUCCGAGAGGUAAGCGCCGCGGCCUGCUCUUGCCAGACCUCCUUUGAGCCUGUCUCGUGGCUCCUCCUGACCCGGGGGGCUUCUGUCGCCCUCAGAUCGGAACGCCGCCGCGCUCCGGGACUACAGCCUGUUGCUGGACUUCGAGACUGCAGACGGACCGACCGCUGAGCACUGGCCCACAGCGCCGGCAAGAUGAAGUUCCCUAUGGUGGCGGCGGCGCUGCUG